RNAcentral lists this ribosomal RNA (315 nucleotides) under Lysinibacillus macroides. Its description in RNAcentral is "partial 16S ribosomal RNA". It matches the Rfam family "Bacterial small subunit ribosomal RNA", at positions 1118 to 1439 of the family's 1533-position model. The record is from RNAcentral. Lineage: Bacteria; Bacillati; Bacillota; Bacilli; Caryophanales; Bacillaceae.
CCAUCAAUUAGUUGGCAGUCUAAGGUGACUGCCGGUGACGGACCGAGGAAGGUGGGGAUGACGUCAAAUCAUCAUGCCCCUUAUGACCUGGGCUACACACGUGCUACAAUGGACGAUACAAACGGUUCCCAACUCGCGAGAGGGAGUUAAUACGAUGGUGUCGUUCUCAGCUCGGAUUGGUAACUGCAACUCGCCUACAUGAAGCCGGAAUCCCUACUACUCGCCGUGCAGCAUCCCGCGGUGAAUCCUUUGCGGGGCCUCUACACACCGCCCGCCCAGGAGGAGAGUUUGUAACACAGGAAGUCAGUAGGUAAC